GCUGGCGAGGCUGUGGCCGGGUGCUCUGGGGGUUGUGCGGAGGCCCGUGCUGGGCGCGCCUGGGCUCCGGGACCCGCAGGCGGUGGCAGGCACACCGCAGCCCGGGAGUGGGGCCUCUGGUCGGUUGGGCGCUUCUGUGAGGGAGGCCGCGGGGUCCUCGGGUCCCGGCCGGGUCAGCACCGCCCGCAGCCCUCGCGUCCAGGGCGGGGUCGGGGGAGCUGCCGAGGCCUCAGCGGCCGCGUGGCCCCUCUGGGCGCCUGGCCAGGUCGGUGCAGGAGGCACAGGGCACCUGCCUCUCUGGGGAGCCGGCGACGCGCGGGCAGUGGGCCGGGCAUCCCCCAGCGGGCGCGCCGGGCUCUGGGCGGCGGGGAGGGGGCCGGGCAGGGCGGGGGAGGGGGCCGGGGGCCGGGGCCGGGGGCCGGGGGCCGGGGCCGGGAGCCCCGAGCCGGGCCUAGGGCGGCAGCAGCCCCCGCGCGCCCAGGGCGCCGCCCAGCAGCAGGCAGAGGCGCGGGCUGCCCGUGGGUCCGGCGCCCGAGGUCCACGCGCGGAAGCCGUACACGCCUCGGCCCGUCCCGUUGCCGCCCGGGGCCGCGUCCUCGCCGUCGUCGGGGUCGCGCUCCCCCAGGCCCGGGGCCCUCCGCCAGCUGGACCCCGCCGCCAGGCCCGCGGCCGCCCCCGCCCCCGCCGCCGCCCCGCCGCCGCCACGCGCAGCGAGGAGCCCCCGUAGCGCGGCGCCGGCCUCACGCGCACCCGCGGGGCCCCCCGCGCGCCCCCGCGCAGCCCUCCCCGGGCGCUGCCGCGAGCCCCCCCACGGCCGCCCUUGGCCGUGCCGCCGUCGCAGAGGAAGGUGGCGGCCAGCAGCAGCGCCCAGCACGUCGCGGCCGUCCAGUUCAUCGCUGCGGAGCAGACCUGCGGCGGAAGGGGAAAGGGCUCAGCUUCCCGGGGCGGGGGGCCGCGGCUGGGGCCAGGGGGGCCAGGGGUCAGGGGCUCAGGGGGUCAGGGCCUGGGGCCAGAGGGUCGGGGGCUCGGAGACCAGGGCCAGGGAGUCAGGGGGCCAGGGGCUGGGCACAGGGGGCUCGAGGGGCCAGGGGUCCAGGGCCUGGGUCCAGGGGUCAGGGGGCCGGGGCUGGGGACAGGGGUCAGGGCCUCAGGAACCAGGGGGGCCAGGGGCUGGGCACAGGGGGCUCGGGGGGCCAGGGUGUCAGGGUCUGGGGAGGCUCAGGGACCAGGAGCUCAGGGCCCAGGGGGCCAGGGCCUAGGGACAGGGGGCUCAGGAGCUCAGGGACUGGGGAGACUCAGGGACAGGGGGCUCAGGGGCUCAAGAUCUGGGGGCUCAGGGUCCAGGAGGCUCAGGGCCCUGGGGGGCCCAGGGCCUGGGACACGGGGCUUAGGGACCAGGGGGGCCAGGGGGCUCAGGGUCUGGGGGCUCAGGGACCGGGGAGCCAUGGCCGGGGCUCAGCGUUGGGCGCUCCGCGGCCACCAGCAUCCUGA
This 1491-nucleotide long non-coding RNA is filed under the name Canis lupus familiaris (dog). RNAcentral describes it as "lncRNA (ENSCAFG00000058903.1)". Lineage: Eukaryota; Metazoa; Chordata; Mammalia; Carnivora; Canidae. The record is from RNAcentral.